UCCAGUACUUAUGUGCCCCUCCGAUUGUC
RNAcentral lists this small RNA (29 nucleotides) under Bombyx mori (domestic silkworm). RNAcentral's name for it is "ovarian small RNA-26860". Lineage: Eukaryota; Metazoa; Arthropoda; Insecta; Lepidoptera; Bombycidae. The record is from RNAcentral.